Nannospalax galili (Upper Galilee mountains blind mole rat) is the source of this 104-nucleotide small nuclear RNA. NCBI's taxonomy places the organism in Eukaryota, Metazoa, Chordata, Mammalia, Rodentia, Spalacidae. The record is from Ensembl.
AACUGCUUCUCAAGAUUUAUACUUAAAUUAGAAUGAUACAGAGAAUAUCAGUGUGACUCCUGAAGAAGGAUGACACAAUAUUUCAUGAAGUAUUCUGUGGUUUU